AAAAAAAAAACAUAGAUUCAAUGAGAAACUAAAGACUGCUGAAAAUACUUUGGUUGAUGAUAUCUUUCCCAAAAUUAAAAACAAUGCAUUCACCAACUAGAAAUUAAAGGAUACGGAUAAAGAGAUCCGGUGAACUAGAAUGAAAUGCAUCAGCAUUUUACAAUCCAAUAUAGGCAGUACACAAAUGACUGAUAAAAUUAUUGCGAGGCAGAUAGCAAUAAGCAGACCGGCUGCCAAUACCUUCAUUAGAAACAAAAUUCAGACGUUAGAAUCACCUACAUCAUUGCUUAAUGACAUUCUCCACAUACCACUUGUAAGUAUCAAUGAGCCCGUCCUUAAGUGAAAUCUUAGGCAUCCACCCCAACCCCAACAGCUUAGAGCUAUCCAUAAGCUUUCUGGGAGUUCCAUCUGGCUUUGAUGUAUCCCAAACAAGCUCGCCUUCAAACCCCACCACUUCCUUCAUUGACUCUGCCAACUCCUUGAUCGUUACCUCCUUCCCACUCCCCACAUUUACAUGCUCCAGCCCACUAUAGCUCUCCAUCAAAAACACCACCGCAUCUGCCAAAUCAUCCACAUGUAGAAAUUCCCUCAGUGGACUCCCUGUUCCCCACACCACCACCUCCUUUGCCCCAUUCACCUUUGCCUCGUGAAACCUCCUCAUCAAAGCCGGGAGAACAUGAGAAUUUUCUGGAUGGAAGUUAUCAUUUGGACCAUACAAAUUGGUGGGCAUCCCAGAAAUUGCAUCCCAGUUGUACUGAAUUCUGU
RNAcentral lists this unclassified non-coding RNA (765 nucleotides) under Hevea brasiliensis (rubber tree). Lineage: Eukaryota; Viridiplantae; Streptophyta; Magnoliopsida; Malpighiales; Euphorbiaceae. The record is from RNAcentral.